GUGAACGCUGGCGGUAGGCCUAACACAUGCAAGUCGAACGGCAGCACAGUAAGAGCUUGCUCUUACGGGUGGCGAGUGGCGGACGGGUGAGGAAUACAUCGGAAUCUACUUUUUCGUGGGGGAUAACGUAGGGAAACUUACGCUAAUACCGCAUACGACCUACGGGUGAAAGCAGGGGAUCUUCGGACCUUGCGCGAUUGAAUGAGCCGAUGUCGGAUUAGCUAGUUGGCGGGGUAAAGGCCCACCAAGGCGACGAUCCGUAGCUGGUCUGAGAGGAUGAUCAGCCACACUGGAACUGAGACACGGUCCAGACUCCUACGGGAGGCAGCAGUGGGGAAUAUUGGACAAUGGGCGCAAGCCUGAUCCAGCCAUACCGCGUGGGUGAAGAAGGCCUUCGGGUUGUAAAGCCCUUUUGUUGGGAAAGAAAAGCAGCUGGUUAAUACCCCGCUGUUCUGACGGUACCCAAAGAAUAAGCACCGGCUAACUUCGUG
Molecule: ribosomal RNA, 491 nt
Filed under: uncultured bacterium
Lineage: Bacteria
Description: partial 16S ribosomal RNA
Rfam family: Bacterial small subunit ribosomal RNA
Source: RNAcentral